This 335-nucleotide RNase P RNA is filed under the name Gammaproteobacteria bacterium. Its description in RNAcentral is "RNase P RNA component class A". It matches the Rfam family "Bacterial RNase P class A". From Rfam's summary of the family: Ribonuclease P (RNase P) is a ubiquitous endoribonuclease, found in archaea, bacteria and eukarya as well as chloroplasts and mitochondria. Its best characterised activity is the generation of mature 5'-ends of tRNAs by cleaving the 5'-leader elements of precursor-tRNAs. Lineage: Bacteria; Pseudomonadati; Pseudomonadota; Gammaproteobacteria. The record is from RNAcentral.
UGAGUUGAUCGGAUGGUUGCUAGCUAUAGCUAGAGGAAAGUCCGGACUUCGAAGAGUAAAGUGCCAGGUAACUCCUGGGAGGCGUGAGCCUACGGCAAGUGCAACAGAAAAUAUACCGCCAAGUAAUUGGUAAGGGUGAAAUGGUGGGGUAAGAGCCCACCGCAAGUUUGGUAACAAACUUGGCAUUGUAAACCCCACUUCGAAGCAAAACCAAAUAGGAAUCCAAUUAGGUUACUCGCUUAGGGUUCGGGUAGGUUGCUUGAGUAAUGUGGUGACAUAUUACCUAGAUAGAUGACCAUUUAACACAGAAUCCGGCUUAUAGAUCAACUCAUAUG